GCGAGCCCGAACUCCACUAGCGUUUUUCACCACGUUUGACUGCCUACCCUUAGUCCUGAGAAGGUCGUGGGGCCUGCAAAUAAAGAUGACAACACAGUGACCAUCAUCGUGGCCGUCCUCUGUUCCCUGGGUUUCCUGGUUCUGCUGGUGGCUGGCGCGUUCUGUGUGAGGAGGAUGCGGCAGGGACCACAGAGGCUCCGGGAAACACCGAAUGUGCGCGACCACGUGACGUUCUCCGUGCCCGACAAUGACGUCAAGUUCGAGAACCCGCUGUACGGAGAGGUGUUCGAGAAAACAGCGCCCCCUGUCGAGACGAAGGGGCGCGACAACCCGGCCUUAGAAUUGGAGCUGAACGGAGCUGAUUGCUAACCUUUGACCCCGAUGUUGGAUUUUUGUAUACUGUCAUACUUUGUAAUUAUAAUUUUUAUCAAAAAGAUUUGGAUUUCCACAAGAUAAGAUAUCUAAUCAACAAUGUCGAAGUGAGUUGAAAAAACUGAGAAAAAGUCAAAGUAAGUUGUAAUCACUGUACAAUCUGUGAAAUUCAUUUGUCACAUUUUCUGAUAAAUAGAUCAAAAUUAAUAACAUUCUUUUUAAAGAGAAAUCGAAUAUUCACUUUGCAAAACCUUAUGAAAACCGAUGAAGAGAUACAUACAGCAAGCUAGUUAUUCUAUACAUAUUUCGCACUACAAGAUUCAGUAACGGUAUAAAUGUUGGAUUAAGAUUUCUAUUGCAGAGAUUCAUGUAAAGCACGAAACAAUUUAGCCUUUUGAUUGCUAUACCCUUCUUUUAUCAAUAAACCAUUUGAUUGAUUGAUUAAUUGAUUGAUGGGUUGAUCGAUCUAUUGAUUAUUGUAAAAAAAAAGAUAAGGUCACCAAAUAAAAAAACAGAAACUGUA
Long non-coding RNA from Branchiostoma floridae (Florida lancelet), 895 nucleotides. RefSeq lists it as uncharacterized. Lineage: Eukaryota; Metazoa; Chordata; Leptocardii; Amphioxiformes; Branchiostomatidae. The transcript has 3 exons. The record is from RefSeq and is a predicted model, not a curated record.